This 425-nucleotide ribosomal RNA is filed under the name uncultured bacterium. RNAcentral's name for it is "partial 16S ribosomal RNA". It matches the Rfam family "Bacterial small subunit ribosomal RNA", at positions 354 to 796 of the family's 1533-position model. The record is from RNAcentral.
GUGGGGAAUCUUAGACAAUGGGCGCAAGCCUGAUCUAGCCAUGCCGCGUGAGCGAUGAAGGCCUUAGGGUUGUAAAGCUCUUUCAGGGGGGAAGAUAAUGACGGUACCCCCAGAAGAAGCCCCGGCUAACUCCGUGCCAGCAGCCGCGGUAAUACGGAGGGGGCUAGCGUUGUCCGGAAUUACUGGGCGUAAAGCGCACGUAGGCGGACCAGAAAGUCAGGGGUGAAAUCCCGGGGCUCAACCCCGGAACUGCCUUUGAAACUCCUGGUCUUGAGGUCGAGAGAGGUGAGUGGAAUUCCGAGUGUAGAGGUGAAAUUCGUAGAUAUUCGGAGGAACACCAGUGGCGAAGGCGGCUCACUGGCUCGAUACUGACGCUGAGGUGCGAAAGCGUGGGGAGCAAACAGGAUUAGAAACCCUAGUAGUCC